CAGCAGGAGUAGAGUCAUGUGUUAUGUAAUAGCUAGAUGUGGACAUGGAUAUGAUGUAAUGUAAAAGUAUGAUAUAAAAAUGUUAUGUAAUGAUGCUUAUGAAAGUUUAGAGUUGUGCUUGACCAUAGUAUUAUGUUAAUCCCUUUCUAGUACAUGAUUUUAAUGUUUAAUGAUGAUUAUUGUAAACCAAACUUAAUUUAUGUUAUGUCACCCCAUUGGAGCAUUGAUGAGGACUCCAAGGUGGGGUUAAUGUUUAUGUUUAUGAAUAGUGCAUGCACAGGUUGAGUUUGGUGAUUGAAUGGAAAGAAAAG
This 311-nucleotide long non-coding RNA is filed under the name Manihot esculenta (cassava). RNAcentral's name for it is "long non-coding RNA (MESC_LNC006148)". The record is from RNAcentral. Lineage: Eukaryota; Viridiplantae; Streptophyta; Magnoliopsida; Malpighiales; Euphorbiaceae.